RNAcentral lists this small RNA (706 nucleotides) under Histoplasma capsulatum. RNAcentral's name for it is "hypothetical RNA". The record is from RNAcentral. Lineage: Eukaryota; Fungi; Ascomycota; Eurotiomycetes; Onygenales; Ajellomycetaceae. RNAcentral also lists the same sequence under 1 other name.
UAGUACAAAAAUGGUUGCGUAUCAUUGACAGGAAAGAAACUGCAUUUCAAGUACUCCAAACCUCUUAUGGUGGCUUCGUUGAGGUUUAUUAUUACUAAUUAUAUGCUGACAGAAAUGGUAUGCAUUUCUGGACAUUUUGAGAAGACAAGAUAUCUGGGAGCAUUCAGUAUCCAGUGCUGACCUUCAUGGUUCAAGGAUGCAAGAGGCUCACACUAACUAACGUGAGCACGAAAUUACCUCUCUCAGCUUGAAAUAGCUCAAUAAUACCGACAUAGGGGAAUCCUUAACAUGGAUUUCGCGUAGAUGAACCAGCCAAAAGACUCGAUGCACUGAGGAUUGGCCAAAGUGGAAAAGAGCUGCUUCGUUCACGGAUUUUUGAUGUGUAAAAUAUUACAAUAUUAAUAUUAGUAGUUGUUUAUUUUGGUUUUCUCAUCUCGACAUAAGCAUAAUAUACCUGAUACAUUCAUAUCGGACGCAAUAUCAGUGAUAGAUAAAAGCUCGCCAGCAGAGCACAAAAAAUGCAGAUUCAAAAUCAUACAAAACAUGCUAAAUUCAAAUAUUCAUCAGGAGUAAUGGUAUCACAAAAAUACAAUAAAUGCAACGCUUGCCAACCUAUGUGAAACCCGAGGAUAUGCGAAAAAUCGAUGAUUGCAAAACGCUCACAUAUACAUAGACAAAAUAAAUGCACCCAAAAUAGAACGUGACC